Molecule: ribosomal RNA, 486 nt
Filed under: uncultured bacterium
Lineage: Bacteria
Description: partial 16S ribosomal RNA
Rfam family: Bacterial small subunit ribosomal RNA
Source: RNAcentral
AUUGAACGCUGGCGGCAUGCCUUACACAUGCAAGUCGAACGGCAGCACGGGUGCUUGCACCUGGUGGCGAGUGGCGCACGGGUGAGUAGUACAUCGGAACAUGUCCUGGAGGGGGGGAUAGCCCGGCGAAGGCCGGAUUAAUACCGCAUACGAUCUACGGAUGAAAGCGGGGGACCUUCAGGCCUCGCGAUCUAAUGUUGGCCGAUGGCGGAUUAGCUAGUUGGUGGGGUAAAGGCCUACCAAGGCGACGAUCAGUAGCUGGUCUGAGAGGACGACCAGCCACACUGGGACUGAGACACGGCCCAGACUCCUACGGGAGGCAGCAGUGGGGAAUUUUGGACAAUGGGCGAAAGCCUGAUCCAGCAAUGCCGCGUGUGUGAAGAAGGCCUUCGGGUUGUAAAGCACUUUUGGCCGGAAAGAAAUCCUUGGCCCUAAUACGGUCGGGGGAUGACGGUACCGGAAGAAUAAGCACCGGCUAACUACGUG